Long non-coding RNA from Malus domestica (apple), 616 nucleotides. RefSeq lists it as uncharacterized. The record is from RefSeq and is a predicted model, not a curated record. Lineage: Eukaryota; Viridiplantae; Streptophyta; Magnoliopsida; Rosales; Rosaceae.
CUCUCUCUACACUCUCACUCUCUCUCUAGAGCUCUGAGAGCUCUCACCCACUUUCCUCUUUGAAAAUUAAACAAAUCAAACUCCAAAACCAUGGAUCCUUGCUAUAUCGUUGCAUGCGUCAUCAGACCAUCACAGUGUAAACCACCAUUGAAGCCGAGAGCUUCAAGAUCUGAAACUCGAAUCCAGUUUUUUGUCACGUCCUCGGAGAAAACUCCGGCAAGUUUGUGGGUUGAGAUCCAAUGGACGCCGAGGCAAAACAGAAGAAAAAACGUGGCUGAUGUCAGCCUUGCAUCAAACCCACUCCGGGCUCUCGGGCUGGCAACUCUCCACCGGCCUCUCACUCGGGUCUGCUCGGGCUCCCUUGCUAACACAUGUUGGACUUGAUUGCUCUGGCUUUCUGGCCCUGUUCACUUGCCUGUCCCUCGGGCUCCAGCACACACUGGAGCUACUCUCAUCAUAUUGGAUAGGAAAAACUCAUAUAAUGUUACAUAAACCAACUUUUUAGACCAUAUUUGUAAUUAUGUAUUGUGUCACCAAUAAUAAUUAAGCACGUUAACCAAUACUAAAGUAAUAAGACAAUCAUGUCAUAUAAUUUAUAAAAUUUGGUUUAAAUAAA